This 380-nucleotide ribosomal RNA is filed under the name uncultured soil bacterium. Its description in RNAcentral is "bacterial SSU rRNA". It matches the Rfam family "Bacterial small subunit ribosomal RNA", at positions 26 to 411 of the family's 1533-position model. The record is from RNAcentral.
AGAUUGAACGCUAGCGGGAUGCUUUACACAUGCAAGUCGAACGGCAGCGCGGACUUCGGUCUGGCGGCGAGUGGCGAACGGGUGAGUAAUAUAUCGGAACGUGCCCAGUAGCGGGGGAUAACUACGCGAAAGCGUGGCUAAUACCGCAUACGCCCUACGGGGGAAGGGGGGGAUCGCAAGACCUCUCACUAUUGGAGCGGCCGAUAUCAGAUUAGCUAGUUGGUGAGGUAAAGGCUCACCAAGGCGACGAUCUGUAGCUGGUUUGAGAGGACGACCAGCCACACUGGGACUGAGACACGGCCCAGACUCCUACGGGAGCAGCAGUGGGAUUUGGACAAGUGGGGGAAACCUGAUCCGAGCCAGUCCCGCGUGUCGCGAGU